This 1393-nucleotide ribosomal RNA is filed under the name metagenome. RNAcentral's name for it is "bacterial SSU rRNA". It matches the Rfam family "Archaeal small subunit ribosomal RNA". The record is from RNAcentral.
CCGAUUAAGCCAUGCAAGUCAGGUAGUAAUACCGGCGACAGGCUCAGUAACACGUCGAUAAUCUGCCCUAAGGUCUGGAAUAACUUCGGGAAACUGAAGGUAAUACCGGAUAUGGAAUUGAGACUGGAAUGUUCUUUUCUUGAAAGAUUACGCCUUAGGAUGAGUCGGCGGCUGAUUAGGUUGUUGGCGGGGUAAUGGCCCACCAAGCCUACGAUCAGUACGGGUCUUGGGAGAGAUAACCCGGAGAGGGGCACUGAAAUACUGGCCCCAGCCCUACGGGGUGCAGCAGGCGCGAAACCUUUACAAUGCACGAAAGUGUGAUAAGGGGACUCUGAGUGCUCAUGUAUCACAUGGGCUUUUGCCAAUUGUAAAAAGCUUGGCGAAUAAGUGGUGGGAAAGACUGGUGCCAGCCGCCGCGGUAACACCAGCGCCACAAGUGGGAGCCAUUUUUAUUGGGCCUAAAGCGUCCGUAGCAGGUUUAUUAAGUCCUUUGUGAAAUCGUUAUGCUUAACGUAACGGCGUGCAGAGGAUACUGAUUUACUAGGGACCGGGAGGAGUUAGGGGUAUUCGAUGGGGAGCGGUAAAAUGUUAUAAUCCAUCGAGGACCACCUGUGGCGAAGGCGCCUAACUAGAACGGAUCCGACUGUGAGGGACGAAAGCCAGGGGAGCAAUCCGGAUUAGAUACCCGAGUAGUCCUGGCCGUAAACGCUGCGAGCUAGGUGUUGUGCAUUCCUUGAGAAUGUGCAGUAUCGAAGCGAAGGCGAUAAGCUCGCCGCCUGGGAAGUAUAGUCGCAAGGCCGAAACUUAAAGGAAUUGGCGGGGGAGCACUACAAGGGGUGAGGCGUGCGGUUUAAUCUAACUCUACGCAGAGAACCUCACCAGAGGCGACGGCAGAAUGAAGGUCAGUCUGAAGGGCUUACCUGACAAGCCGAGAGGUGGUGCAUGGCCGCCGUCAGCUCGUGCCGUGAGGUGUCCAGCUAAGCCUGGUAACGAGCGAGACCUGCAUCCAUAAUUGCUAACGAGUCCUCCGGGACGAUUGAGCACAUUAUGGGUACUGCUCUGGUAACAGAGAGGAAGGUGCAGGCAACGGUAGGUCUGUAUGCCCCGAAUCCUCUGGGCAACACGCGCGCAACAAUGGUAGGGACAAUGGGAUACAACCCCGAAAGGGGAAGUUAAACCUCUAAACCCUAUCUUAGUACAGAUUGAGGCUUGCAACUCAGCCUCAUGACGCCGGAAUCCCUAGUAAUCGGAUUUUAUCAUAGUCCGGUGAAUACGUCCCUGCUCCUUGCACACACCGCCCGUCAAACCACUCGAGCAGGGUCUGGGUGAGUGCUAGUCAUUUUGAUUAGUUCGAAUCUAGGCUCAGUGAGAUGGGUUAAGUCGUCACAAGGUA